RNAcentral lists this ribosomal RNA (1170 nucleotides) under Triticum aestivum (bread wheat). RNAcentral's name for it is "partial small subunit ribosomal RNA". Lineage: Eukaryota; Viridiplantae; Streptophyta; Magnoliopsida; Poales; Poaceae. The record is from RNAcentral.
AUGCAGCGACAGUGCCCCGUCGUCAAUGGCGACGCCGAUGCAUUGUGUGUGCUCAUGGCCAUGAUGGUCGCUCGGUGGUGGAAUCGAGGUUCCUACCAAGGAGGCGUCGUCGCUCAUUUCGAGGGUGUAGAGUCCGUUCCACCGGUCUCUGACGAGCCAGUGCGCCGUGCCCCGGCGCACGACGGCGCCGCCGUCCACGACGGUGAGCAUGACGCUUCUGAAGCACACUAUCUCCGCGCGCCAGCCCGGCUCGGUGGACGAGUAAGUGCAGAGGUCGUAGGUGAACGUGUCGCGGUUGAAGACGAGGAGCAGCACCUUGAAGAAGGCCGGGCGGCGGCGGCCGUCUUCGGCGAAGGUCACGACGGCGGAGCUGUUGAUGCGGAAGCCGAAGCGGCAUCGCAGCGGCGGCAGCUCGUCGCACGUGCCGGCGAUCAGGUCGCACACGGCCAGCCGGACGCCUCCGGGGACCUCGGUCGGCGCGUCGACGAGGCGCACGAGGAGGAGGCCGUCGCGCGACACGAACGGCACCGCGUCGUCCAGCAGGCCCGCGGCGCACGAGACCAAGGAGCGCAGGGAGCGGCACGCGCGGCCGAGCGGGCUUCCCCGCGCCGGGACGAGAGCCGGGGCGGAGGGGACGGCCGGCCCUCGCGCCCUGUAGCUUCGCACCUGAACGAAGAAGCCGACGAGGGAGGGCGGGUUCGGACACGAGGCCCCGCCAUCGCUUGCAAGCCACGGCGCAGCGGAAGAGGGCGGCGGCACAGGCAACGUGCGCCAGGAUCUCGCGGACCACGUCUUCCGGCAGCGUGGCCGCGCCGGCGGCUGCCGUCUCCGUCGUCUUCUCCAUGCUCCCUCGGGCGACGUCCAUGCGAUCGGAGGCAAAGCCGUGGCUCGGAUUUUGCUUCGGGGCGUGCGCGCCAGGAACCUCCGCCUCCGCUUAGAGCAUCUCCAACAGCCGCGCUUCGCGCCGCGUGCAAAAAACCUGUUUGCCGCGCGCGCUUCGGCUGGUUUAGCGCGGCCGCCAGCGCUGACUCCAACGGCCGCGCUAUAAUGCAGAGCGCGCGCCGUUCCAGCAGCGCGCAAAAAUACAGCGCGCGCAGCACGCACAAAUCACAUAUAUAUUUCAGAAAAGAGGAGAAAAAUGAUCGAAGAAACAAAAUAAAUCAACAAUAA